AAUUCCAGCUCCCCGAGUGGUUGGGAUGUUUAUUGGGUCUAAAGCACUCGUAGCCCGCCGAAAAAGUUCUCCGUUAAAUUCGGCGAUUCAAUCGUCGACAUGCGGGGAAAACUUUUCGGAUUGGGGGCGGAGGAAGUCGGCGGUAUUUCUGGGGUAGGGGCGAAAUCCUAUAAUCCCAGGAGGACCACCAGUGGCGAAGGCGGCCGACUAAAACGCGCCCGACGGUGAGGGGUGAAAGCUGGGGGAGCGAACGGGAUUAGAUACCCCGGUAGUCCCAGCUGUAAACAAUGCAGGCUAGGUGUUGGAACAGCUUCGAGCAGUUCCAGUGCCGCAGGGAAGCCGUUAAGACUGCCACCUGGGAAGUACGGUCGCAAGGCUGAAAUCUUAAGAAAUAAAAGCUGAAAAUCUGUCUAUAUCUUAAGACAGCAAACUUAAAGGAAUUGGCGGGGGAGCACCACAAGGGGUGAAGCCUGCGGUUUAAUUGGAGUCAACCCCGGGAAACUUACCAGGGGCGACAGCGGGAUGAAAGCCAGAUUAAAGGUCUUGCUGGACUAGUUGAGAGGAGGUGCAUGGCCGUCGCCAGUUCGUGCCGUGAGGUGUUCUCUUAAGUGAGACAACGAACGAGACCCGCGCUUCUAGUUGCAACCGGAUCACACCAGUGAUACGGGCACACUAAAAGGACUGCCUCCGCUAAGGGGGAGGAAGGAGCGGGCAACGGCAGGUCAGUAUGCCCCGAAUCCCCUGGGCUACACGCGGGCUGCAAUGGCUGGGACAAUGGGCUCCAACCCCGAAAGGGGAAAGCAAUCCCGAAACCCAGCCUCAGUUUGGAUCGAGGGCUGUAACUCGCCCUCGUGAAAAUGGAAUCCCUAGUAAUCGCGUGUCAACAUCGCGCGGUGAAUACGUCCCUGCUCCUUGCACACACCGCCCGUCGCUCCACCCGAGUUUGGUUUAGGUGAGGCUUCGUCUCAUUGGCAAAGUCGAACCUGAGUUAAGCAAGGGGGGAGAAGUCGUAACAAGGUAACC
This 1023-nucleotide ribosomal RNA is filed under the name uncultured crenarchaeote. RNAcentral describes it as "bacterial SSU rRNA". It matches the Rfam family "Archaeal small subunit ribosomal RNA", at positions 472 to 1448 of the family's 1478-position model. Lineage: Archaea; Thermoproteati; Thermoproteota. The record is from RNAcentral.